UACGUAGGGUGCAAGCAUUAAUCGGAAUUAUUGGGCGUAAAGGGCGCGUAGGCGGAUGAGAAAGUCAGAUGUGAAAUUCCGGGGCUCAACCUCGGAGCUGCAUUUGAAACUCCUUAUCUAGAGGGUUGACGGAGAAAACGGAAUUCCACGUGUAGCGGUGAAAUGCGUAGAUAUGUGGAAGAACACCAGUGGCGAAGGCGGUUUUCUAGUUAAUACCUGACGCUGAGGCGCGAGAGCAAGGGGAGCAAACAGG
RNAcentral lists this ribosomal RNA (253 nucleotides) under uncultured bacterium. Its description in RNAcentral is "partial 16S ribosomal RNA". It matches the Rfam family "Bacterial small subunit ribosomal RNA", at positions 524 to 776 of the family's 1533-position model. The record is from RNAcentral.